UAUCGGUAUGGGAUGGGGUCGCGUCCUAUCAGCUUGAUGGCGGGGUAACGGCCCACCAUGGCUUCGACGGGUAGCCGGCCUGAGAGGGCGACCGGCCACAUUGGGACUGAGAUACGGCCCAGACUCCUACGGGAGGCAGCAGUGGGGAAUAUUGCACAAUGGGCGCAAGCCUGAUGCAGCGACGCCGCGCGCGGGAUGACGGCCUUCGGGUUGUAAACCGCUUUUGACUGGGAGCAAGCCCUUCGGGGUGAGUGUACCUUUCGAAUAAGCACCGGCUAACUACGUGCCAGCAGCCGCGGUAAUACGUAGGGUGCAAGCGUUAUCCGGAAUUAUUGGGCGUAAAGGGCUCGUAGGCGGUUCGUCGCGUCCGGUGUGAAAGUCCAUCGCUUAACGGUGGAUCCGCGCCGGGUACGGGCGGG
Molecule: ribosomal RNA, 419 nt
Filed under: uncultured Bifidobacterium sp.
Lineage: Bacteria; Bacillati; Actinomycetota; Actinomycetes; Bifidobacteriales; Bifidobacteriaceae
Description: bacterial SSU rRNA
Rfam family: Bacterial small subunit ribosomal RNA
Source: RNAcentral